RNAcentral lists this long non-coding RNA (408 nucleotides) under Salvia miltiorrhiza (redroot sage). RNAcentral describes it as "long non-coding RNA (SMIL_LNC011849)". The record is from RNAcentral. Lineage: Eukaryota; Viridiplantae; Streptophyta; Magnoliopsida; Lamiales; Lamiaceae.
UCAAUCGGGAUCAACCGUGCAAGAACUAUAGUCUGCACUUGGAAUUUGAGAAGUUCAAUUCCUGUUUGGCUGAUGCUGCAUUUCUGGUAGUGGCUCGAAGUGCUUCUUGAGGUUCAGCGUGUCUUAUUUGAGGGAAAUUGUGAGAUGAUACUCUUUCCCUUUGUGUAGGGGAGAUUUGCUAAGAAUCUAUAUCUAUCUAUAUAUAUAUAUAUAAAAGCAUAAACCACUUUUAGAAACCACUGCCAAAAAUAGUAAUUUAUGUUUUUCUGCAAAAAUUACCUUACUUUACUAUUUAUAAUUUUGUUUUUGUUUUUGUUUUUGUUUUUUUUGUCUUCUUCACAUCAUGCGUAUUUUUUUAUUGUAAUUUUUAUAUUGUCCAAAUAAUAUAUAAGUUAAGUUUUAUCAAUA